RNAcentral lists this transfer RNA (72 nucleotides) under Camelus bactrianus (Bactrian camel). It matches the Rfam family "tRNA". From Rfam's summary of the family: Transfer RNA (tRNA) molecules are approximately 80 nucleotides in length. Their secondary structure includes four short double-helical elements and three loops (D, anti-codon, and T loops). Further hydrogen bonds mediate the characteristic L-shaped molecular structure. tRNAs have two regions of fundamental functional importance: the anti-codon, which is responsible for specific mRNA codon recognition, and the 3' end, to which the tRNAs corresponding amino acid is attached (by aminoacyl-tRNA synthetases). tRNAs cope with the degeneracy of the genetic code in two manners: having more than one tRNA (with a specific anti-codon) for a particular amino acid; and 'wobble' base-pairing, i.e. permitting non-standard base-pairing at the 3rd anti-codon position. Lineage: Eukaryota; Metazoa; Chordata; Mammalia; Artiodactyla; Camelidae. The record is from Rfam by way of RNAcentral. RNAcentral also lists the same sequence under 2 other names.
GAGUGUAUAGCUCAGUGGUAGAGCACAUGCUUAGCAUGCCUGAGGUCCUGGGUUCAAUCCCCAGUACCUCCA